CGGAACAUGGAGGCGGAGCGUGACGAACAACGUUGGAACAGUUUGGGUGAGUAAACCAAGAAAAACUGCUGUUAUUGUUGUCUCUUUUUGCUUUAUCUAAGUUGUAUUGUUCUAGCUUCUGUGUGCUGGUCUGUCUUUGUGAUAUCAAGCUCUGAAUUCGGCUCUGUCAGCUCAUUAACUUACUGAAUUCAUGGUAGGAGCCAUUUUGUGAAAGCACCUAGAACGCAAACAAGGUCCAUAUUAGGGGAGAGUGGGGUAGGUUGAGCCACUCCCUGCUGUUUGUAAAUGGUAAGGACAUUGAUCAUAUGACCAAAUAUUUGGGAGAUGGGCAUCAAUUCAUGAAGUCUGUGAAGGUUAGAAGCACAUUGGUGAAGGUCCAUGUAUUAUCCGUCCUUUCAAUUAUUCCCUUCAAUCUAGUAAACAGAAAACAGAAAAACGAGUCAAUAUUUUGUUUAUUUGUUUUUCUGUAUGACCAAAAAAAAUUGUGUUUAUUUUCGUAUUUUCAGUUCAAAACAGAAUAUAUAAUCGAGAAGGAAACAAAAACAAAAUAAUAAAUCUGGUUGUAAUUUUUUCUACAUUCAUAUCUUCCUCCUAACAAAUAAACAAAAUAUUGACUUGAUUUUUUCGUUUACUAGAUUGAAUGAAAUAACCGAAUGGAUGGAUAAUACAUGGACCGGGUUAGACAUUUAUUUCCAAAAAAACAUUUUUCACUCUUGAAAGUGAAUUUAGUCUGUCAUAAGUUUGAUUAGAAUUGUGUUCAGACCCAAAAAGAUCAUUUUAAAUUAGUUUUAUACAUCAAUUGUGGUAUCUAUGAGCUCCAACAUGAGGUCAAAAACCCAACAUAAAAGUCCACCAUUUUAUCUUAGAGGACUAAUAAAGUCAUCAUAGUAGUUCAGGGGUAACUGAGAAAGUAAAGGAGUCUGAUGAGAGGAUCAGAGUUUCAUCAGAGAUCACUUUUUUAGGCAUGCUAUAUUAUCAAGAUUACAUAAAAUAUAUGCGAGCUAGAGACAAAACUAGGAUUGACUUGAUGUAGCGAUCCAAAAUAUGAAAAAUAGAUCAUCUUACCCCACUCUCCCCUACUGCUAAAACCAGUCACUGAAAGUUACAAACCUCCACCACACUUAAUUGUCUGCAGCCGUUUUCAGUGUAGUAAAAAAUGCAGAAACAAUCGAUUCAGUGCUUCUCAAAACCUCUUCAGCCUUCUCCAGCGAUGCUGUUAUGAAGACAUUUUUAUAAGGGCAUGUGAUGUGUUGGGCCUCUAUGUGUUCAGAAGUCUUUUCCUCCUGACCCCAGUCAUGUUGGCCAUGGCUCUUUUUUAAGGGUUUAAAUCCAGACAAUCCCCCUUGUAGUGUAGGAGAUGAAAUGUUGUGUCAUGUAAAUGGAUGUGUGUGUACCACUGCACCCUGUGAGAGGAUCUGAGAGGCCUUUAUCACCUCCCUGAGCUGUUGAGCAAAAAUAAUGCACCCUCUGUUAUCCUCAUCAGCGACGCAGCGAGCAAGUCUGAGGGGAUAUCCUGUUGGCGAAGUAAAGGCAUUCAUCCUGCCUGCGGUGGUUUUGGUGACACAAGAUUUACAAAAUGUUCCACCGGCCUCCACUUACCUCUUUUCAAUACUCUUUAUAUAGAGUAAUGGGCCUUAGAUCCUCUGUUAUUUCAGAAAACAAGGGAUUCUCACAACGGUGCCAACUUCUGCGGGGUUAACAAAGACACCAGAGCCGUCCUCGUUUACUUUAACCGUCAGUGUUUUAAGGACACGCUGACCUUUGUGUGCAAAAGAUGAGGAACUAUCAAGGGCUCCAUUUAAUCCUAUUUAUGCAAAAUAAAUGUUGAUGCUGAGGAUCACAUUUUGAUUUUAAAACCUCAUGUAGGAAAAAAAGUUGGAGCUUCUUGCGCUUAAAACAUCCAGUAAAUAAAGAGUCCGCAUAAUAGUCCUGACGUGUUUUCCUGCCCUCAUCGUCUCGUCCUAUAAUGUAAACUCUGGCUUUUGAAUAUUGUGAACAGCCUACAUGCUUCAUAGUGAUGGGUACAUUUAGAAAGCAGAUUACUCAAUAUCAUACUCAAUGACUUAAGCAAAGUAUUAAAACCACUGUGAAACAAUUCUGUGGGCUGGGUAAGGAGGAACCAUUAAGUAGCUGAAGUAAUUCAAAACAUCCAUUAACCAUAAUGCACUGUGUGGUUUCUGAUUUCUGGAAAAGUGAAGUACUUAAAAACAAUCGGAUCUGAAAAAAAUUCACCCUCAUCUCCAUUCCUUCCCCUGACUGUGGCAACAACCCUCACCGUGGGACUGAAGUACCACCGGUAAACACAGAGCAGAUUCUUCUGAGUUAUGGACCGGGAUCCUGCUAUCACAGCUCGUCCCUUUUGUCUGACCCAAACCACGCUUGUGGUGGGGCUCCUGUCAUACCAAUGAAAGCAAUGACAUUAACAUCAGAAACCAGAGGAAGCCCGGUUGCAGGCCACCCAGGUUUUCCUGGGGUCUGGAGGGCCAGGGAAAGUAUAUCUUGGACAAGUCGUCGGACUACCCUCGCAUUUCCUAUUAUUAAUUUCAUGCAGACGAGCGACCCCGCUCUGUAAAUCAUACCUGUGGUUUAAAAAGGGCCGAUGUAUCUCUUCUCCUCUCUUUUCUCUGUAAUGAUGAGGCUCUGCUCAUUGUCUCUCAUCCGUCUAGUUAUCCAGGAGAUUAAGCUUGUCACUUUAAAACCAUUUCAGACUCUGAUGUUGUCCCGGAAAGAACCAAAACUCAGGCUCAUGCUAUUAUAACUGAGUUUAAGUUUAAGUCAAGUUUAAAGUGCCUUUAUUAUUGUUUUGCAGCUCCAGAGAGGAAACUGUGGUGAGAACUGACAGCAGCACAUCGGCCCUUUAUCUGAAGCAGAGGAGGCCAGCGGAGUAUUCCCCUCUCAACUCAAUAUAACGCAGACGCUCGAGGUUUAACAGCAAGGUCAGUGAGGCUCUCAGAGGCUUUUUCCAGGUUCCAGUUCACUGUGCUUUUUUUUUUUAAAGUUUAGUCUCGACAGUGUGAAGCGUUUUAUUUCAGUUUGGGAGGAAAGAGGUAUUGCGAAAUCAAAAGCAAAGGAAAACAAACUUUAGGAAAAUUUCAAUUCUUUUGGUUCAUAGUGAUUCACCGAGUUUGGAGGAGUCUCAAGGCUGCGAGAGAUUUUUGUUUUUGCCUGUUUGCCAUUCAAGGCCACAGCCGACCACACAAUAUAUAAGCCCGUCAAUGUAAAAAUAAAGUUGAUUGAGGAGAUAUUUGAUGUACAAAUUAAAGUUGUGUGGUUAGCUAUUGAUACAUGAACAGAACUGUUCGCUGCAUGCCAGCAUAAACUUCAACUCCUCAGAACAUUUCCCCCUUUGUGGGAAAUCCUGUCUUAAAAUAGAGACUUUUAUUUUGACAUCUUUAGACGGCAGCUUGGCUCAGGAACGAGUAAUCCGCCUUCAGAGCAGAAUGAAUCUGAGCAUGAAGCCCUAAUCUGAACUGUCCGCUGGUUUGAGAUGUAAAACCACAGAAAGACCAUAAAGGACGUCUGUUGUUUCAUACAGUAAGCCUGUUCAUAAGUGUUUUCAUGACUCUAUGUGCUUCAGUGUCAUUUGCAUCUCUCCAAUGUGUCAGACAGCAGAGAGAGGAAACUGCCCUAAAACCUCCUUAUUCUGAGGAUGUAGCAGCUCCCACUGUGGGGCGAAAGAGGUUCGGAGAUCGUAGGUAUCAUAGGAGGGGCUGUGGGAUUUCACACGCUUUAAUUUCGACUGCAUGUAUCAAGGUGGGUCAGCAGACUAAUAAAGGCCACAGACUGAACAAAACAUGGACACAGUCUCAGUGACAGCAUCUGUUGGAGACCUGAUGAAGCACAAUGAUGGUGGUCACCAUUAGGGAUGGGCGAUAUAGGCUAAAAAAAUUAUGACCAUAAGUUUUUCCAUUUUGCCAAUAACGAUAAAAGUCCCAAUAAAAAAUGUUAUAAUUCCAAUCUAUGUUUUUGUCUCAUUUUCCUGAUAACACCAGUCGGAAUAGUCAAAUAAGAUACUUAACCUUGAAAACUCUUAUUGCACAGAGUGAGGAGAUCCACUGUCCGAUACCAGGCACACCUGAUUGCACUCUUCUAAGCCCCAAUCUUGAGGAGAAUCCCUCAUGUGGAGACGUCUUCUUUUUUACCGUCAGCAAUGUUUUUUAGUUAUUCUGAUAUGUGUGGGCUACGGCUGAAAGUCCGUUGAUCGCGCUUAUGUCAUCAACUUGCAUUUAUCGUAUUUAUCGUAGAGGAUUUUUCUGUGAUUUUUGAACGAUAAUUUAUCGCCCAUCCCUAGUCACCAUUUAAUAUCAGGCCCAACGUUCACUCUAUCUAUAAACGAGUAAAGAGGUGGGACUGAGGAAGGUUAAGGUCUCUGUACACCCACCUGUCCGUCAGCCCACCAUGACCCUAACUAUGAGAAUCUUUGUAUGAAUCUGACUCACCUGAGAUAAUCAUAACAAACCAAUUAAUAACUUAUUGAACCAUGCAGUUUUUAUGAAUGAAUAAUAGGCCAAUGCAUAGAAAAAUAAUCCUUAAUUCUUGGGUCAUUAUGGACAUUUCAACUUGGUUUAUUCUGGGAUAAUUUAUUUACAAGUUGUCCAGACAGAAUUUAUUUACUUAUUCAGAUUGUAGCCGACUAGUCUGAAUUUAAAAACUGUCAAAUGUCUGUGUCCUCUGAUCUUUGGUGGUGGUCCAAAGCCCUUUAGAGAUAUUUUUAUAUGUUUCAAAUCUACGGUCACUUUCGUUUACUUUGUUUGGAGCAGAUUUAGCUCAUUGUUUAUUGUGUUCAGGGUAAACUUUUUACUUAAAGGGUUAAAUGCUUAAACAAUAAAAAUUCCCUUUUUAAAAGCCGAUCAUAACUCAAUUCUUUGUUGACUUAGUGAGUGACUUCUUAUGUUUAGCUGCUCGGCAAUGUUCAACUUCAGCUCACAGACAGCUGGACUCAUAAAGAUGGACCUAAGUUGGAAUGCGCCAGUAAAGCCGAGUCCGUGUGUGUGUGUGUGUGUGUGUGUGUGUGUGUGUGUGAGAAAGUGUUUAGAUUCAGUGUCAUUCAGAGUGCAUUAGGUACAUUAUAAACACACACAGGCUAGCAGACAUUUACUGAAACCAUUCUGCAUACUUACACUUAGAGCGAAUGAAGCCUAAUGCUAACUCGGAGGCGUAUUGAUUUAAACACUAUAAAGCUUUUUGUCCGUGGAGCGGGCGUAGGGUUCGAGUCAUCAUCUCCUCAGGGAAUUUCUAAACAGAGUCAGAGAAAUCCAUCAUAUCAAAACCGUUAAAGGUUUUAUUUGGGCCUCUGGUAUCUCUCAUCUCUUUGGGGACAUGACAGUAAUUACAGCCAUCAAGGUGCUGGUCUGGAGCCGUCAGCCAAGAGCGUGGAGACUGCUUCUCCUCAGCUGCUCCUCCACGGGCUCCUGACAUCAGCGCUCCGUUUGUUUUAACAGAGCCUGAAGUAUGUAACGGCGUUAAUCGCAGCAGACAGGCCAGAUUUAUCCCGCCCUGGUCAAAUUCAUAAGUUAAGUGAACUGUUACUGGGAGGAUAAUCUUAUAAACAAGGUAAAGUAUUAGCAAGAGGAAGGAAUGUGAGGAUAAACCUGGAUUGUGAAAUGACUCAAGAAGAAGGGAGUUCUCUGUCCGAAAUCCUAUCAGUGAUACAUGGAGUCAUUUUAAAAGCUUUGAUUUCACACACAAAGUUCAGCUAACUCAUCCUGAGAAGUACUUAUCCUGUCAUUUAUUUUAUAAUCUGUUUAUAGUUUCAGGGUUUCCAAAAUGAUUUAAAAAAGAGGUUUUCUAAGGAUGUAAUGACGCAUCAUGAAUGAUAAAUCAACUUGAACUUUAAAAAGUGACCUUUAAACAUGGAUUUAUCGAUUACCUUUUCAGCUAACACCCAGUUUGAUUCAUGUCUGUGUUUUAUUGUCUUACAGGAGCAUCUGUGAGGAUCUACCGACUGUAGCUCCUCCAAUCGACCUCACCGUCCGAACAUUCAGGUGAACCGACAGUGAAGACAGACCUGACAGGAAACGGGAUUCCUGCUUCUCAUGAGGUAACCAAGUCAACACGACUUUUACACAUGUUAUUAUUAUCUUCCAAAGAGACUCCUCUAAAUCAAACACACCAAUCCAAUUCUCUUUAUUUGUAUAGCACAUUUUAAAAAACACCAGAGUGCUGCACAGUAAAUUUAAAAGAACAAACACUGAAGAAAACAUCAGGAAGAAAUAAAUAAAAGCAGGUCGAAAUCUUUUAAGAUAAAAUAAAAACACGAAAGCAUAAAAGUGAUAAAAGGACAAUAAAUGACUAAAAAGGACAGAGGUCACACAACUCUCAUGCUGAACUAAAAGCCAAGGAAUAAAAAUUAGUUUUAAGAUGUGAUUUAGAAGUAGAAAGAGUUGGGGGUGUUUUAAUCUCGAGUGGCAAUUUGUUCCACAAUUUGGGUCACCACGGGAUUUUUAACGAGUUUUAGGGACGACGAGUCGGAGCUGAAUUGCAGACCUCAGGGAAUGUAUAUAUCAUGAUAUAAAAAAUGAAUUUUAACAGUGCUUUUUGGUAGCAUUUCUUUUGCAGUACAAUAAUCUCCUGCAUCUGUGAGGUCUUUGUGUCUCUGUGACGUUUUUGUCGUAAGGUGUUGCUCUAGAGAAAGCCGACUGAAUGGUCGGUUCAGUGCAACGUGGACCUGGAGCAACUCCCCUUUUCAUUGGCUAUUCGUAUAGUCUACCAAAACAUGGCAGAAUAUCGACUAUCGAAAAGCAUAUUGACCAUGUUUCAUACUGAUAUUGAGGGAAAUUAAUUUCUGAUAUAUAUCAUUAUCGUUUUAUCGCCCAGCCCUACCUGUGUCAUUAAAUUCUGGCCUCCUGGUCUCAAAUGCUCUGCUCAGGGUAACACUGAGGGCAGGAGCGAGUGUGAGUAAAUCUGGUCCUCAGUUAAACAAACAGAGUCCAUGCAGAGCUUCAAUCCAGCUCCAUAAAUAUAAACAGGUAUACGUUAGUGAAUAAUCUGUGUAGUUAUUCUGAUAUAUCGUCGAGUUCAGGAGGUUUAGAUAUCUGAGCUGAUUUAUUCACUGAAAUUUAAUCAUCAGUUUGAUUUAGAUUCAGAGGUUGGACUCAGUUCAUCAUUAAUACUACACAACUUUCCAACAAUCAUCUCUUUUACUGCAGCGAGACAAAGAGAUCAUUUCUGUUGAUAAAAUAAUCUCAUUUUCCAAAAAGGAGACUUGGAAACGUUUAGUAGGAUCCCCUGUUGAGACUCUUUUAAAAAAUACUGGGAAAAAUAAUCACUAAGAAUCUUUUUACAGACUGUUUCUUCUCGGGGAAUUAAUUUGGAUGAUAAAUGUGACUUUAUUGGUUACAGUAGGACAAAAAAAAACCUCUUGGCAAUCUGCGCCGUGUUCCCCGAGUGGUGAGCUGAGCUCCAGUUUCACGCUUGUUUGACAAUGUUGUCACCCUUUUUCCUCUUAAAUAUGAAACACUAAACACAUGUGUGAAAAUUAUUGCAGUUUAACAGCUAUGAAAUGAGAAGAAAAAUUAUUUUCCUGCGUUUAAAAGAGUUGAUUGAUUUGCAGGCCUCGUUACUUAGGUGUUACUCUAUUAAGUUUCACAGUAUUAUGCCGAGUGAUGUCAGCUUUUCCCUCAUGUGGACGCGCUCCAGCAGCACGGAUUCAUUCAAAGGGAAAGAGCGCCGCUAAAUCAGGCAUAAACUCUUUAUAAUGCUCCAAUAAAACACAGCAGAGCCGGUCCAAAAAAAAAAGGCAUCUCUGGAGAGAAAUCUGAACAACAUCAACAAUCUGCUGAGAAAUGUGAAAUGAAGAAAGUGACCUCUGGUCUCGCUGCUCUCGCCCCGCUCCCAUUCAUCAGCUCCUCGUCUCCACUAAAAGCCGGCUUUACAGCUGGUUGGCGCUCAGGCUCUUAAAAUAUGUUCUACUGGAUGGACACAAGUGUCGAUGAGGUGGUAUUUCUCAGGCCCCUUGUCUUUCCGUUAUCGCAGGAUGUGGAGUCGGGGAGAGCGAGGGAGCAGAGUGGGGAGGACUGGAGCCCUAAAGCAUGAUUUACUUGACCCUGCAGUGCUGGAACUCACGGCCAGAAACCUCAUUAAUUCCCAGGGUCAUUCCUUUUGGACAUAAAUUGGUUAAAAAAUCAGAACGCGUGGAUGACUUCCAGACAUACACAAAGAAUUAUGAAAUCGUGGCCUGAAUCCGCCCUCCCCCGACUCUCCCUGUUCCCACUCCAGAACCGAAGCAGACCCAAACGUCCAGGUUUAAAUCACACAGGCCCGCUCGGAGGAGUCCCCUAAUCCUGAACGAAGGGAGGAGGCGGAUGGAACGUUUUGUGCCUAUUAGGCAGCAAAUAUGGCAUUAUUUUAUGCGAUUAUCACUAUGAAUGAUUUUCCCCUCCCAUCCAUCCUGGAGCCUUGCUUGGCCUGUCUUUUGUUUGGGAAAAAGGAGCUGGAGGAACAGCAGGGCUGCGAGGGAAGCUCAAUAAAUUACACUAAUGCACACAUUUAAAGGGUCUCAUAUUCCCCCUGGCCUGUUAUCAAGACUACUCCAGUGAGAAUGUAAACUACCUCUCUCUGCCCCCCUCC
Molecule: long non-coding RNA, 8568 nt
Filed under: Xyrichtys novacula (pearly razorfish)
Lineage: Eukaryota; Metazoa; Chordata; Actinopteri; Labriformes; Labridae
Source: RNAcentral